RNAcentral lists this ribosomal RNA (1977 nucleotides) under human gut metagenome. RNAcentral's name for it is "bacterial LSU rRNA". It matches the Rfam family "Bacterial large subunit ribosomal RNA", at positions 344 to 2441 of the family's 2925-position model. The record is from RNAcentral.
GGAAAGGUAAGCCGGAGAGGGUGACAGCCCCGUACGAGUAGAAAAGCUGACUGUUCUUGAGUAAGGCGGAGCACGAGAAAUUCUGUCUGAAAAUGGGGAGACCACUCUCCAAGGCUAAGUACUACUGAUUGACCGAUAGUGAACAAGUACCGUGAGGGAAAGGUGAAAAGCACCCCUAUAAGGGGAGUGAAAGAGAACCUGAAACCGGAUGCCUACAAGCAGUCGGAGGGUCAUAAGGCCUGACGGCGUACCUUUUGUAUAAUGGGUCAGCGACUUAAUUUAUGUAGCAAGCUUAAGCCGAUAGGUGUAGGCGUAGAGAAAUCGAGUGUUAACAGCGCGUUAAGUUACAUGAAUUAGACCCGAAACCGAGUGAUCUAGCCAUGAUCAGGUUGAAGGUUGGGUAACACCAACUGGAGGACCGAACCCACUCCCGUUGAAAAGGUAGGGGAUGAAUUGUGGCUAGGGGUGAAAGGCCAAUCAAACUCGGAAAUAGCUGGUUCUCCGCGAAAACUAUUUAGGUAGUGCGGUGAGCGGACACCUUGAGGGGUAGAGCACUGGAAGAGCUAAGGGGGAGCGAUCCUUACUAAACUUUACCAAACUCCGAAUACUCAAGAGUGAUACUCACCAGACAGACAUUAGGUGCUAAGGUCUAGUGUCGAGAGGGAAAGAGCCCAGACCGCCAAUUAAGGUCCCAAAAUUAUGGCUAAGUGGUAAAGGAAGUGAAACGUCCAAAACAGUCAGGAGGUUGGCUUAGAAGCAGCCAUCCUUUAAAGAAAGCGUAAUAGCUCACUGAUCUAAACAAGACGUCUUGCGCCGAAGAUGUAACGGGGCUAAAGCCAUAUACCGAAGUUGCGGAUUUACACGUUAAAGUGUAAGUGGUAGCGGAGCGUUCUGUAAGCCUGCGAAGGUGUACCGUAAGGUAUGCUGGAGGUAUCAGAAGUGAGAAUGCUGACAUGAGUAGCGAAAAGAAGAGUGAGAGACUCUUCCGCUGAAAGUCCAAGGUUUCCUGCGUAAAGCUAAUCUGCGCAGGGUUAGUCGGUCCCUAAGGCGAGGCAGAGAUGCGUAGUCGAUGGCAAUCAGGUUAAUAUUCCUGAACCGGCCCGGAAGUGACGGAUUGAGUAAAUUGUAAGUUCUUAUUGGAUUGAGCUUGCAGUGAAUCAGUCCCAGGAAAUAGCCCGGGCUAAGACCGUACCCGAAACCGACACAGGUGGACAGGUAGAGAAUACCAAAGCGCUUGAGAGAACUAUGUUGAAGGAACUAGGCAAAAUACUUGCGUAACUUCGGGAUAAGCAAGCCCCAUUUUAAGGCAACUUAGGGUGGGGGGCACAUACUAGGGGGUAGCGACUGUUUACUAAAAACACAGGGCUCUGCUAAAUUGAAAGAUGAAGUAUAGGGUCUGACGCCUGCCCGGUGCUGGAAGGUUAAGGAGAGAUGUGCAAGCAUUGAACUGAAGCCCCAGUAAACGGCGGCCGUAACUAUAACGGUCCUAAGGUAGCGAAAUUCCUUGUCGGGUAAGUUCCGACCUGCACGAAUGGCGUAACGACUUCCCCGCUGUCUCCAACAUAGGCUCAGCGAAAUUGAACUCUGAGUUAAGAUGCUCAGUACCCGCGGUUAGACGGAGAGACCCCGUGAACCUUUACUAUAGCUUUGCAGUGGUAUUAGGUAACAAAUGUGUAGAAUAGGUGGGAUGCUAUGAAGCUACGACGCCAGUUGUAGUGGAGCAGACUUUGAAAUACCACCCUUUUGUUGUUUGAUAUCUAACCUGCUCCCGUUAUCCGGGAGAGGGACCCUGCAUGGUGGGUAGUUUGACUGGGGCGGUCGCCUCCCAAAGAGUAACGGAGGCGCGCAAAGGUUGGCUCAGAUUGGUCAGAAAUCAAUCGUCGAGUGCAAUGGCAUAAGCCAGCCUGACUGCGAGAGAGACAUUUCGAGCAGAUACGAAAGUAGGUCAUAGUGAUCCGGUGGUCCCGAGUGGAAGGG